RNAcentral lists this ribosomal RNA (579 nucleotides) under Staphylococcus sp. RNAcentral describes it as "bacterial SSU rRNA". It matches the Rfam family "Bacterial small subunit ribosomal RNA", at positions 352 to 923 of the family's 1533-position model. Lineage: Bacteria; Bacillati; Bacillota; Bacilli; Caryophanales; Staphylococcaceae. The record is from RNAcentral.
CAGUAGGGAUCUUCCGCAAUGGGCGAAAGCCUGACGGAGCAACGCCGCGUGAGUGAUGAAGGGUUUCGGCUCGUAAAACUCUGUUAUUAGGGAAGAACAAAUGUGUAAGUAACUGUGCACAUCUUGACGGUACCUAAUCAGAAAGCCACGGCUAACUACGUGCCAGCAGCCGCGGUAAUACGUAGGUGGCAAGCGUUAUCCGGAAUUAUUGGGCGUAAAGCGCGCGUAGGCGGUUUCUUAAGUCUGAUGUGAAAGCCCACGGCUCAACCGUGGAGGGUCAUUGGAAACUGGGAAACUUGAGUGCAGAAGAGGAAAGUGGAAUUCCAUGUGUAGCGGUGAAAUGCGCAGAGAUAUGGAGGAACACCAGUGGCGAAGGCGACUUUCUGGUCUGUAACUGACGCUGAUGUGCGAAAGCGUGGGGAUCAAACAGGAUUAGAUACCCUGGUAGUCCACGCCGUAAACGAUGAGUGCUAAGUGUUAGGGGGUUUCCGCCCCUUAGUGCUGCAGCUAACGCAUUAAGCACUCCGCCUGGGGAGUACGACCGCAAGGUUGAAACUCAAAGGAAUUGACGGGGCCCCC